GGAAAUGAGUAAAGCUCCCAAGGCAAAAACACCUAGAGAGAAGUCCAGGAGUUAAGCAGCAAAUGUUACUGACUAUACCUCUCCCAUUGCAUGGUCAGAUAAUUUCUAAAUAAAGUACACCACUGGCAUCCUACUAUCCACUAUAUUUUAAGUCCCUGAUAUUUAUGUUUAGAAAUACAGGUGCAGAAGAAUGGAAACUAAAGAUUAUUGUAACUACUCCAACUGCUGUGGGAAAUGGUUCAAGUUCCUUCACAACUAGAUGAAAGUAUCUGUUUCACAGAAGUUGUCUAAUGUUCUUCAUUUAUGUAAUAAAGCUAUGACUGUCUAUUAUGUCCUAUAUAGCAGGGCAGAAUACUGAUAUCAGGCUUAAAAAUAGCAAUAAUUAAAUGAAUGUCUACUGACUA
Lonchura striata (white-rumped munia) is the source of this 404-nucleotide long non-coding RNA. RefSeq lists it as uncharacterized. The record is from RefSeq and is a predicted model, not a curated record. Lineage: Eukaryota; Metazoa; Chordata; Aves; Passeriformes; Estrildidae.